GAUACAUUGUGCUGUGUGUGCUUCGAAUAGCACAAUGGAAAGGUGGCACUCACCAGAGAUGCCAUCCCCACACUGGUGGAUUGCGACAACCCGCCACCACUUGCCUCCCCACCUCUUAAAAGGCGGAGAAAAAAAAAGAAGGUAACAUAACUGAGACCAAGACCAACAUACAAAUAAUUAAGACAGUCCCCUGAAAUAACAUUUACAUACAUUACAUUGAAUGAAUUAACUUUAACUGAUCCUUUGAUAUUGACUGAUUCAAUCCUCAAAAGCUAAGCAGAGUCAAUCUGAGGAAGAAGACAGGUAUAUAGACACAGAGGGAGGGACAGAGAAAAGCACAGAGGAGACAGCAGAAAUUAUACCGGAAAGGACAGAGGAGACUCUAGAGACAACAGUUGAAAUGGAGGAAAGGACAGAGGAGAGCGCAGAAGGGACAGUAGAGUCAAAUGGAGGCAACAAAGAACAGGCUGAGGCUCAGGUGACAAUUCUGCACAACAGUCUCCAAAAGAAGGACCAGAGAAUAAAACAACUACAGGCACGCCUUGCAAGGCUGCAAAGGCUAAGACGCAGGAAAAGGAAGCCAGCUGCCAUGCCAAAAAAAUCCAAUCCCCAUGAAAUUAUGGAGGAGAUGCUCCAGAGGUGUCCUGAGGGCUGCCGGAACUUCAUUAGGGCACAACUGUCAGAGGCAGGGAAAAAGGACAGAGGGAGACGGU
Gadus macrocephalus (Pacific cod) is the source of this 713-nucleotide long non-coding RNA. RefSeq lists it as uncharacterized. Lineage: Eukaryota; Metazoa; Chordata; Actinopteri; Gadiformes; Gadidae. The record is from RefSeq and is a predicted model, not a curated record. The transcript is spliced from 3 exons.